Molecule: non-coding RNA, 786 nt
Organism: Drosophila virilis
Lineage: Eukaryota; Metazoa; Arthropoda; Insecta; Diptera; Drosophilidae
Source: RefSeq, a predicted model, not a curated record
UUUCACAAAUCGAUUACAAAGCGUUAGCUAAUGCCUCGGGCUGCCAUAGACCCACAUUUCACACAGCCCCCCAAAAAAAAGCUAAAAAAAAAUAAACUAUAGUUAGAUCAAAAAAAAUGUGUGGUAUCCAAACACUGGCUGACUUGUGUACUGCCCAUGCCCGUGCUCGUGAUCCGCGGCUGCUAAACGUUCAUUUCCUCAAUUAGAUUUCAUUCUCAUUGAAUAAAGCACAAUCCGAGCCGAGUGGGUGGUUGUGGCUCAGGCCGGGAGUCUGCUGCGCUACUGUAUCGGCAAAGUGCUCCAAUUGGGCUCGUUUGCGAUAACAAAGAUGCGUGAACGACUCGACCUUGUCGACGUGUCCAAACUGGUCAAAAUACAAUAUAAUAUUCAACUAAAUGCGUUAACAUUCCUGGACGGAGGGGUUACCCCUCGAUUGUUCAAUUAAAUUGCUGUAUACGUAGCUAUAAACAAACGGGCCACGGACCGACGUAGAAGGAUUUUCAAAAUUGUCAAAUAAAAUUCAAACUUUUUUUUUGUUAUUUUUCUGUUUUUAUGAAUUCGGUUUGUUGCCAAUACAAAAAUUAAAUUUGUAUGCAAGCAUUGGCUUCGACACAAAGUUAACGAAAACAAACCAAAUGAUAAAAUAAAACAUGUACACACACACACACACACACACACACAAGAUAACAACAACAACAAAAACCAAAUCGAAGAAGAGCAAAAAUAUAAUAAACAAAUGUCGUUGAGCCGUGCAUUAAAAAUGCCACGAAUUGACGAAAUGAUGAA